Molecule: ribosomal RNA, 253 nt
Filed under: uncultured bacterium
Lineage: Bacteria
Description: partial 16S ribosomal RNA
Rfam family: Bacterial small subunit ribosomal RNA
Source: RNAcentral
UACGUAGGGUGCGAGCGUUAAUCGGAAUUACUGGGCGUAAAGCGUGCGCAGGCGGUUCUCCAAGUCCGUUGUGAAAACUCGAGGCUCAACCUCGAGACGCCGGUGGAAACCGUAAAGCUAGAGUCCGGAAGAGGAGAGUGGAAUUCCUGGUGUAGCGGUGAAAUGCGCAGAUAUCAGGAGGAACACCCGUGGCGAAAGCGGCUCUCUGGGACGGUACUGACGCUGAGACGCGAAAGCGUGGGGAGCAAACAGG